RNAcentral lists this long non-coding RNA (1504 nucleotides) under Prunus dulcis (almond). RNAcentral describes it as "sRNA ncRNA". Lineage: Eukaryota; Viridiplantae; Streptophyta; Magnoliopsida; Rosales; Rosaceae. The record is from RNAcentral.
CAGACCCUUCUUCUCCUUUUUUUUCAGUUUUGGCUUGCCACGACCCCACCUUCACGCCUCCACCACCGCCACCACACGCCGCCACUUGGGGCGGCACCGGUUCCGUUGGAACCACCACACUCCCUACUUUCCAUUCCACCCCACCACCACCUCGAUCCGCCUCCGUACACGCCGGAAUCAGCCACGAAAGGUAGCGGUUUGGACAGAUUUUUGUCAAACUUUCGGCCCUUCGUUCUCUCUCAUUUCUCCACCAAAUUGGACGAGUAAGGUACUCCGACCACGCAUUCGCAGCAGGCGGGACCCUCUCAGGGUCAGGCAGUGUGGGACUACUUGUGAGUGGACUUUGUUUUCAAAUCUUAUGCAUGGUUUUAUGGAUGAAAGAUUUAUGCUUAACGUUUUUAAUGAUUUAUUGAAUAUAUUAUAUUCGUGGAUUGAAUUUGAUGUUUGUUUAGCGCUUUAGCAUAGUUGGAUUUUGAAAGUAUAUUUUAUAAGGAUUUUGGGAAAUUUUAUGCAUGAUGUUUUAAAUGGUAUUUUGGAUAUAUUAUUUAUUCAAUUGUUGAAAGUGAUAUUUUUAUGAGGCUUUAGAAAUAUAUUUGGGUUUUGACAUAUUUGAGUAUCUUGAGUAUGUGUAUGGAUUUUGAGAAUUUAUAUAUAUGUUUGGCUAUGUGUGGGGUACUUGGGUUGUUGAGAUGAGAUUUUGGAAAGUGUUGAGUAUAGAAUGUCAGUUUGGAGUGCUAUAAGCACUACCCUAUGUACCUCCCCUGAUUUGGAACUUGGAUACGGAUACUUGAGAUACUCGGGGCAUCCUUGACGGGAUGUUGCUGUAGACCCUUGAUUGGGUAGUCUGCGCGCGUAGGACUGGUCACAGACAUACAAGUUUUGAGGGUAUCGACUGUACGUGCUGGCUGAGAGUUAGUCCCCCGGUUGGACGGCUCGUUCCCUAGUUACAUGGUGAAUUGAGGACUCUUCAUGGGGACUCUGCCAUGGUGACUAGUCAAACAAUCCCCCGGUUGGAUUGUUUCCCCGGUACAACUAGGUGUUGGUCAUAUUUAUAUUAUUAUUAUAUUGUAUAUAUAUCUCUUAUUAUGUAUAAAUUUACAUAUGUAUAUAACUAUUCAUUUAUUCUUAUUUUUUUUUUCGGUGAGGAUACUUCCUUGCCGGUCGUGCCUUUGGGUACGCUUUCGAGAGUUUGGUUUGAGACUUAUAAUAUUUAAUUGGUGGGUUGUUUAGUGUUCUAUUUGGAUUUCGGACUUGGCAUUCCGGUAUUGGUUUGGUUUUGACCCAUAUAAAUAUUUAUUUGAUUUUGAUGAUUUGAGAUACAUUCAGAUUUCUUGCUUGGUUUAUUUAAACAGUGGGGUUAUAUUAUGUUGGUUUGCACUGAACUAAACUUUAUUUUUGUCCACUCACAUUUUUCUGUUUUGCGCCCCCAGCCAGUAGUCGACUGAGCUCCGCAGCUGGGCCGGAUCGUGUGCUCACGAGCCUUGAGCCUUCGUAGGAUUUCUUC